GCUGGAAGUGGGAGUCCAGAUGGCAGGAAAUGACGCUAGUUCUGGUAGUGAUCCGGAAAUGGAGGAUGAAUCCAGUAGCGGGAAUGCUGGGGGAAAUGAAUGGUGGAAAAUAGUUAAUCGGAAAAGGAAGAAAACCGGUAGUCAAGGAUCAUUUACGGAUAGUGGAAAGGAGGAAGAAGUAGUUUGGUAGGUGGCGGUAAUGCACCAUAAGCUGGUUUGCCAACCGCCAUAAAAAUUCAGAAGAAGAAGAGAUGUCAAAACGAGAUGUUGUUGGCAAGAUGGCGGCUUGCGUGGAGAGGCAACGGGACAGACGAGACACACGUGUGUUUAUCUGCUGCAGAGAGACUGAUCAAGGAAUGCUGCCAUCAAAGCCUCUCAAUCUUUUGUGGUGGAGCAGGACUUGCAAGGAAAGGUGACAUUUGUGAAAAAAGGGAAACCCUGAAACAAAAGGAUAACCAGCAUCCUGGAAAUGGUCCAGUGACACAGAUGAGACGCUCCAUCACUCCACCUCUUACUGCCUCAUCUGGACCGGAUGUUGCUGUGGUCUCUUCAUUCUCAGUGACCCCAGAGCCAGCGAGAGCAUCUAGAGAAAGAAAGACCUGAAGUUUGUUCUGCUGGUUUCUGUUUAUACAAUGAAGGCUGACUUUUAGAAGCUUCAAAACCAUCAUCGUAAAAUGUCAUGAAGCUUUUAUCUGAAAUGAUUUACAGUGCUCUUAUUACAGGCGUCUACAAUCCCCCGAUCAACCUGGAGGAAAGAGCCUUGCUCAAGGGCAUACUGAUGGUUUAGAACCCGCGACCUUCUGCUCACCAGUUCAGUGGUUUAGCCCACAACAAAAGUAAUAAAGCUACAACAAAAAAAGCAUGUAAUUGUAAACAUGAAAUGAAAUUUGUUAAUAAAUGGAAAGCUGACAACAUGAAUUGUAAAAUGUUUUACAGGUAGUCGUGCUCAUGGAGAGCAGACACACGAUUGAAUGAAGCUUUGUUUCAUCUGUUGUUGACUUGUAUAUGUAUGUAUUUAUUGUGAUGCUUUUAUUCAUUCCUUUACUUAUUUAUUCAUGUUUCUUAUUGUUGUCAGUAAACAAAAUAUAAAUAUUUUAUUUAUGUAUUAAUUGCUUGACUGAAAAUUCAUGUAUUCACAUCGACUGCAUUUGUUCAACUAGUGUAUAUUCAUGUAUAGCUAUGUCACGACAAAAAAAAUACAUUUAGCUUGUUUAACUAAAAUGUAAUUUUAAGGGAAAAAAAGUAAUAAUUAUUGGUUGGCAUUUAUCAUUAUUAUUGCAUGUAAGUGUUGGGGUGAGCAAACGAUGCAAUUCAUUCUGGGGUAAUCUUAAUUUUGAAGUAGUAAUAUUUACAUUUUUAGAGUAUAAAAUCUUCUCCAAAGUCAAGAUCUUCUAGCAGCUGAUCGACGUUUCCUUUGUGAUUUUACACAACCGUUCCAUAAAUAAGGAGUUAAUAUGAUGUUAUAUUUUAAAAUAUAACACAAUUCUAUGUAAGUUAUAUUACUGGGUUUUAUAUAUUAUAUACUAUAUCAUUGUGUAAUUAUAUUAUUGUGUUAUAUACAGUAUAACACAAUAUUGUCUGUUUUUGCUCUGUUUUGCCAAUAAAAAUAUUACCUAUACACUAAAGCCACAGCAGAAUUGUUGCGCAUCUCAUAGAGACACAGCUGUGUUUAGUUUUUGAAUGAAU
Cyprinus carpio carpio is the source of this 1686-nucleotide long non-coding RNA. Lineage: Eukaryota; Metazoa; Chordata; Actinopteri; Cypriniformes; Cyprinidae. The record is from Ensembl.